This 253-nucleotide ribosomal RNA is filed under the name uncultured bacterium. RNAcentral's name for it is "partial 16S ribosomal RNA". It matches the Rfam family "Bacterial small subunit ribosomal RNA", at positions 524 to 776 of the family's 1533-position model. The record is from RNAcentral.
UACAGAGGGUGCGAGCGUUGUCCGGAAUCACUGGGCGUAAAGGGCGCGUAGGUGGCGCUGCAAGUCGGUGGUGAAAGCUCGAUGCUUAACAUCGAGUCGGCCAUCGAAACUGCAGGGCUCGAGCACUGUAGGGGCAGAUGGAAUUCCGGGUGUAGCGGUGAAAUGCGCAGAUAUCAGGAGGAACACCGGUGGCGAAGGCGGUUCUCUGGGCAUUACCUGACGCUGAGGAGCGAAAGUGUGGGGAGCGAACAGG